UACGUAGGGUGCAAGCGUUGUCCGGAAUUAUUGGGCGUAAAGAGCUCGUAGGCGGUUCGUCGCGUCGGCUGUGAAAUCCCGAGGCUCAACCUCGGGUCUGCAGUGGGUACGGGCAGACUAGAGUGCGGUAGGGGAGAUUGGAAUUCCUGGUGUAGCGGUGGAAUGCGCAGAUAUCAGGAGGAACACCGAUGGCGAAGGCAGAUCUCUGGGCCGUAACUGACGCUGAGGAGCGAAAGCGUGGGGAGCGAACAGG
RNAcentral lists this ribosomal RNA (253 nucleotides) under uncultured bacterium. Its description in RNAcentral is "partial 16S ribosomal RNA". It matches the Rfam family "Bacterial small subunit ribosomal RNA", at positions 524 to 776 of the family's 1533-position model. The record is from RNAcentral.